GAUUUAUUGGGCGUAAGCGAGCGCAGCGGUUCUUAAGUCUGAUGUGAAAGCCCCCGGCUCAACCGGGGAGGGUCAUUGGAAACUGGGAGACUUGAGUGCAGAAGAGGAGAGUGGAAUUCCAUGUGUAGCGGUGAAAUGCGUAGAUAUAUGGAGGAACACCAGUGGCGAAGGCGGCUCUCUGGUCUGUAACUGACGCUGAGGCUCGAAAGCGUGGGGAGCAAACAGGAUUAGAUACCCUGGUAGUCAAGGGCG
RNAcentral lists this ribosomal RNA (252 nucleotides) under uncultured Enterococcaceae bacterium. RNAcentral's name for it is "partial 16S ribosomal RNA". It matches the Rfam family "Bacterial small subunit ribosomal RNA", at positions 548 to 802 of the family's 1533-position model. The record is from RNAcentral. Lineage: Bacteria; Bacillati; Bacillota; Bacilli; Lactobacillales; Enterococcaceae.